RNAcentral lists this microRNA (19 nucleotides) under Homo sapiens (human). Its description in RNAcentral is "hsa-miR-378b". Its record names the gene hsa-miR-378b. The record is from miRBase by way of RNAcentral. Lineage: Eukaryota; Metazoa; Chordata; Mammalia; Primates; Hominidae.
ACUGGACUUGGAGGCAGAA